Molecule: long non-coding RNA, 400 nt
Organism: Ceratitis capitata (Mediterranean fruit fly)
Lineage: Eukaryota; Metazoa; Arthropoda; Insecta; Diptera; Tephritidae
Exons: 3
Source: RefSeq, a predicted model, not a curated record
UUUUGUUGUGAAAGUAAUGUGUAAUUUUUUAUAACAUUAUUCAUUUAUUAAUGAAUCGGCUUGUAUCAAUUUAAGCCUAGCAAAUGCGUACUCUGUUAAGAAAGUUCUACGCGCGCUUCUUCCAAUUAAUGGUCAGUUUAAUUUUUGGCUUAAUGUGUGCGUAAAUAAGCAGAAUUGUCGUUGUUGGAGUGAAGAUCAGCCAGAAACGUUGCAAAAGCUAACAAUGCAUCCAGAAGAAAGUGACAUUUUGAUGCCGUUUAUGGGCUGGUGGCAUCAUUGGACCGUACUUCUUCAAAGAUAAUGCGAAUAGUAACGUUACUGUGAAUGGUGUUUCGUUUUACAGUUAUCCUGUCACUCACCAACAGAAGGGACGUGUUUCAGCAGCAAUUUUAAAAGCCGC